AUGCCCAGAAGUUCCUUUUAUUGUAUUUUGAUGUCUGAUUCUGCCUCCUUCAAAGGAAUUGAAUCCACUCAUACAAAGAUUCAAUCUGAGACUUGUUAUAAAGAAUUCUCCCCUAUGUCUGGGCAGCCAGGGCCACCAGCAACGGUAUUGUUCCUCUCAUUGCGCCCAUUGUGAUGAGCACAUAAGCCAGAUCUUUAGAUCUAGCACAAGUCUAAUUGAAAGGAGCAUUUCAGCUCUAUUAUUCAGUGGACUGAAGAGAAAAUAGGGAAUUAACAAUUGAUGUUUGUCUAGGGUCCACAAACACACCAGAUGAACAAAUAUGUUGGGUCAUAAUUCAUUGUGAAAAAGGGUCUUCUAAUACAAAACGUUACAUAAUGAAAGGAGGUCACUAGCUAUGCAUUGGCUGACACUUUCUCUGGAGAACUAUCCUCUUUACUAAAUAAGGGUCCAUAUCUCCAAGAGGCCAGUCCUUGAUGACGUGGAAAACUAGAAGUGAUGGAGUGAGCAUAUCCUAUUCCCAGGAAUGUACAGGGGCAGUGUCUACCAAGAAAGCCCUUGAACAAAGGCAGAUCUGAAAACCUGGAUCCUGGAUUCUCAAAGGUGCUGCUUUGGAGAAGCCCUUCUGCUCUGGUCCCGCACCCUGCUUGUCCUGUCAGGCGUCCCGAGGCCCCUGGAGGGUUCAGCCCCCGCUUCCCCCAGACAUCUCAUAGCUACUGAGCUAAUGGGCCAGCUCUCCGCGGAGCUGAGAAAAACCUGUCCCGUAUUUCACACCAUCAAUUACAUGCUGGAUUCUCUCCUAGCCGCCUUUUGUUAGCCUGAGCUGAGUUGCCCAGGAGCAGCAGCCGGGUCUGCAAAUGCCAUUUAUGCGCUCUGAUGGGAGCCAUUUGGCACCGGGUUCCAAUGCGCUCUGUCUACAGAUAACCAGGAAGGCUCCAGUUACAAGACAAACAGUCUUCGUCUUGCACUUCUGACUUACUUCCUAUUGAUGAGUGGCCCCCAGGCUUGGGCUCAUCUGUUCCUCUUUUGUCUCCCAGAGUUAUCCAUCGCCAUCCAAGGCCUGGGAGGAAAUACUCGGUUUCUUUGGUCUGAAGAUGCUGGAACAAGAUUGCUUGGACCAAUUAUAGUUUCAUCACUUUUAGCUGUGUGACGUUAGAUUAGUUACUUAACCUCUCUGACCUUCACUUUUUUAAUCUUUCAAAUGAACUACUGCUACAUAAAUUAGAUUUGUAGUGAGGAUUCAUUUGGUUGGUUAAUAUGCUAAAAGUCCAUAUA
Non-coding RNA from Peromyscus maniculatus bairdii (prairie deer mouse), 1272 nucleotides. The record is from RefSeq and is a predicted model, not a curated record. NCBI's taxonomy places the organism in Eukaryota, Metazoa, Chordata, Mammalia, Rodentia, Cricetidae.